This is a non-coding RNA of Ictidomys tridecemlineatus (thirteen-lined ground squirrel), 593 nucleotides long. The record is from RefSeq and is a predicted model, not a curated record. NCBI's taxonomy places the organism in Eukaryota, Metazoa, Chordata, Mammalia, Rodentia, Sciuridae.
CAGAGAUUCCACUGAAAAUAAAAAUUGGAAACCUGAUCUCUAAGACAGUCUGAGUACAUAUCCCUGCAUCCUGUGGAAACAAAUAUUCAAAUUGAAAACAUUUCCUGAACAAAAUGCUUUUUUGGCUUCUGCAACCUGGGACACCUUGGAGGGAUCUAGAGGAAAAGUGUCCAUGUUUGAGGAGAAAAAAGGAUCUUCUACGAAAACAAAGCACAUCAGAACUCAACUUAAAAAUGAAAAUGAACCAACACACGCAAAACUCUGCAGAUAAUAAAAUGACCAGUUAUGACCAAACGUUGGGAUCUUGGAGAAGGAUGAAUAUGCAAAGCACAGAAGAACUUUAGAUUCUGCUUGUUCAAUGCUCACAACCAGAAAGAGAGGCUAUCCAUGCAGCAUCCGCAAGGAUAUGCUGCCUGAAAAUCAAUGUACUUCUUGAAGAAGAAUGAAGGAUUUACAGAUGGCCAAUACCAGUUUCCAGAACAUUCUACCUAUGGCCACAAGUUGAAAAUGGUCUGAACGGACAAUUAAAAGCCUAUAUGUAUUUUUAAAAUCUGGAUGUACUUGGGAAUAAAGAAACACACUUUCGGUCAAAA